This 1612-nucleotide long non-coding RNA is filed under the name Olea europaea subsp. europaea. The record is from RNAcentral. Lineage: Eukaryota; Viridiplantae; Streptophyta; Magnoliopsida; Lamiales; Oleaceae.
GCUCUCCUUUUUCCUUUCUUUUUAAUUCCUACAGUCACCACUGAUUUUUAGUUUUGCCAAUUGUCAUGGAAGUCGGACUGAAGCCUGCAUAGACAUGAGGAUGGAAAGUUUUAUCCUGCUACUGGAGCUGCUGAUCAAAUCUGAUUCUAAGCUUCUGUUUCCAUUAAAUAUGCUUUGCUGCACAUUUAUCUCUCUUCAAAAGUGCCUCAUUUGGCAUGUGACGGUGAAAUCUAUUCUCUGCUAUAUGCAAGAUAAUCAUCAACACAAAUUCAAUUACUCUCAUUGCACUCUCCUUUUUCCUUUCUUUUUAAUUCCUACCGUCACCACUAAUUUUAGCUUUGCCAAUUGUCAUGGAAGUCUGAAAAUAAUUGAAACGUUCUCAUUUGUGUAGGCAAAACACAAUUGUGUUUAGUUUCUACUACACUGUAUUAUUGAUCUUCAUCAUCUACUCUUCUCAUACAAAUCAAAACAUGUCAUUCUAAUUAAAUUAUAACCUUCAAAAUUUUACACAAAAAAUAAAACAUCAACACAAGAAAUUUCAUAAGAAAUGAUUGUUAUAUCUAAAGGGAUGAAAUAAUGGUUACCACUUCUUCCCAUUCAAUUGUUAUGUUUGUUAAUUUAACGGAUGGCUGAAUUAACCUCAUAUAGACCAAGCAAUGAAGGGGUUAUCUUUGCUCUCUUGCCAAGCCUCAUGUCAUCCGCAUCUACAGCAAAAUUAGGGCUUACUUCAUACUGCAUCGUAAGAGUUUUUUUUUAUUGUGACUUUCGCCUACCUCAAUUUCUUGGCUCGGCCCUCCAUCAAUGGUAUUGGCCCCACCAUAAGUACCAAGACUUAGACCAUGAAAGUUAUCCACAAAAUAAUUGAGACUUACUUCAUACUGCCCAACGGGAGUUUGAUAUUCAACGUGACUUCAUGAACCUCAGUUUCCUGGCUAGGCCCUUCAUCAGUGAUGUUGGCCCCUCCAUGAAAGCCAUCUCCCAGAUUAUUUUCAACUCCUCUGGACAUCAUUGGAGUUUGAUUUUCAUCAUCUACCCCAAAUAUAAAAAGAAUAAUAAUAGUUUAAAACAUAAAUAAAAUUUAACAAACAGAAAAAAAAGGAAAAAUAACAUUAGAAGCCCAUUUACUCUCAUUCGCAUCUACCAAACACAAAAAGAACACGUUUAGUUUAAAACAUAAAUAAAAUUUAACAAGCUAAAAAAAGGAUAAAAUAAAUAAAUUAUCAUUUCUGUUCAUAAUCAAAUUUAAUCUCCUCUCAUCCCACUUCUUUAUAAAAUUCGCGUGCCUCACAGUCCAAUCAAAUUUUUGUAAAGCGGUGCGCUUCUUGUUAACUAUUGGCAGCGAUAGUUCGAGUGGAAUAAUAUCAGCCAACAAAUUCCAUUUAAGUGGGCACAAAUCUGGCCUAUGAUAUGUCAAUUUUUCAAAGCAUAUCAAUAUUGUGUGGGAAAGUCUAAAAUCUAUCUACCCAACAAGAUAUUGGGGCAGAAAGUCGUUCGACAAUCUUGCAUAUGACAGCCACACAAUCUAACGAGAGAAAAUAACAUAAAGUUAAUUGAAAACAAAAGAAAAUUAGAGUAAAGUAACUAAAAAUUCACAUUAAUAAAAUAAACUUAC